This 73-nucleotide transfer RNA is filed under the name Candidatus Micrarchaeota archaeon CG10_big_fil_rev_8_21_14_0_10_45_29. RNAcentral describes it as "tRNA-Asp". It matches the Rfam family "tRNA". Rfam says of the family: Transfer RNA (tRNA) molecules are approximately 80 nucleotides in length. Their secondary structure includes four short double-helical elements and three loops (D, anti-codon, and T loops). Lineage: Archaea; Nanobdellati; Microcaldota. The record is from RNAcentral.
GCCUAGAUAGUGUAGUGGUCUAGCAUUCCGGACUGUCACUCCGGCGACCGGGGUUCGAAUCCCCGUCUAGGCG